UUCCGGUUGAUCCUGCCGGAGGCUAUUGCUAUCGGGGUCCGAUUCAGCCAUGCUAGUUGUACGGGUUUAGACCCGUAGCAAAUAGCUCCGUAACACGUGGUCAAACUACCCUCUGGACCGGGAUAUCCUCGGGAAACUGAGGUCAAUCCCAGAUACUGCUUUCAUGUUGGAACACAGAAAGUCGGAAACGGUCCGCCGCCGGAGGACGUGACUGCGGCCGAUUAGGUAGACGGUGGGGUAACGGCCCACCGUGCCGAUAAUCGGUACGGGUUGUGAGAGCAAGAACCCGGAGACGGUAUCUGAGACAAGAUACCGGGCCCUACGGGGCGCAGCAGGCGCGAAACCUUUACACUGCACGCCAGUGCGAUAAGGGGACCCCGAGUGCGAGGGCAUACAGUCCUCGCUUUUCGUGACCGUAAGAAGGUCUCAGAAUAAGAGCUGGGCAAGACCGGUGCCAGCCGCCGCGGUAAUACCGGCAGCUCGAGUGAUAGCCACUAUUAUUGGGCCUAAAGCGUCCGUAGCCGGCCGAACAGGUCCGUCGGGAAAUCCACCCGCUCAACGGGUGGACGUCCGGCGGAAACCAGUCGGCUUGGGGCCGGGAGACCAGAGAGGUACGUCCGGGGUAGGAGUGAAAUCCUGUAAUCCUGGACGGACCGCCGGUAGCGAAAGCGUCUCUGGAGAACGGACCCGACGGUGAGGGACGAAAGCUUGGGUCUCGAACCGGAUUAGAUACCCGGGUAGUCCAAGCUGUAAACGAUGCUCGCUAGGUGUGGCGUUGGCUACGAGCCAGCGCUGUGCCGUAGGGAAGCCGAGAAGCGAGCCGCCUGGGAAGUACGUCCGCAAGGAUGAAACUUAAAGGAAUUGGCGGGGGAGCACUACAACCGGAGGAGCCUGCGGUUUAAUUGGAUUCAACGCCGG
This 918-nucleotide ribosomal RNA is filed under the name uncultured archaeon. Its description in RNAcentral is "bacterial SSU rRNA". It matches the Rfam family "Archaeal small subunit ribosomal RNA", at positions 1 to 921 of the family's 1478-position model. The record is from RNAcentral.